UUAAGCGAAUAAGCGUACACGGUGGAUGCCUAGGCAAUCAGAGGCGAUGAAGGACGUGCUAAUCUGCGAAAAGCGUCGGUAAGGUGAUAUGAACCGUUAUACCCGACGAUAUCCGAAUGGGGAAACCCAGUAUCCAAUGGAUACUAUCAUUAGCUGAAUCCAUAGGUUAAUGAGGCGAACCGGGAGAACUGAAACAUCUCAGUACCCCGAGGAAAAGAAAUCAACCGAGAUUCCCCUAGUAGCGGCGAGCGAACGGGGAGCAGCCCAGAGUCUUAAUCAAUAACAGUGUCAGGAGAACGGUCUGGAAAGUCCGGCAGUAAAGGGUGAUAGCCCCGUAUCUGAAGAUGCUGUUAUUGUGAACUCGACGAGUAGGGCGGGACACGUGUUAUCCUGUCUGAAUAUGGGGGGACCAUCCUCCAAGGCUAAAUACUCCUGAUUGACCGAUAGUGAACCAGUACCGUGAGGGAAAGGCGAAAAGAACCCCGGCGAGGGGAGUGAAAAAGAACCUGAAACCGUGUACGUACAAGCAGUAGGAGCCUCUUUAUGGGGUGACUGCGUACCUUUUGUAUAAUGGGUCAGCGACUUAUAUUCUGUAGCGAGGUUAACCGUAUAGGGGAGCCGUAGGGAAACCGAGUCUUAACUGGGCGAAUGAGUUGCAGGGUAUAGACCCGAAACCCGGUGAUCUAUCCAUGGGCAGGUUGAAGGUUGGGUAACACUAACUGGAGGACCGAACCGACUAAUGUUGAAAAAUUAGCGGAUGACUUGUGGAUGGGGGUGAAAGGCCAAUCAAACCGGGAGAUAGCUGGUUCUCCCCGAAAGCUAUUUAGGUAGCGCCUCGUGAAUUCAUCUUCGGGGGUAGAGCACUGUUUCGACUAGGGGGUCAUCCCGACUUACCAACUCGAUGCAAACUGCGAAUACCGAAGAAUGUUAUCACGGGAGACACACGGCGGGUGCUAACGUCCGUCGUGAAGAGGGAAACAACCCAGACCGCCAGCUAAGGUCCCAAAGUCAUGGUUAAGUGGGAAACGAAGUGGGAAGGCUCAGACAGCCAGGAUGUUGGCUUAGAAGCAGCCAUCAUUUAAAGAAAGCGUAAUAGCUCACUGGUCGAGUCGGCCCGCGCGGAAGAUGUAACGGGGCUAAACCAUGCACCGAAGCUGCGGCAGCGACACAAAGUGUUGUUGGGUAGGGGAGCGUUCUGUAAGCCUGCGAAGGUGUACUGUGAGGUAUGCUGGAGGUAUCAGAAGUGCGAAUGCUGACAUAAGUAACGAUAAUGCGGGUGAAAAACCCGCACGCCGGAAGACCAAGGGUUCCUGUCCAACGUUAAUCGGGGCAGGGUGAGUCGACCCCUAAGGCGAGGCUGAAAAGCGUAGUCGAUGGGAAACGGGUUAAUAUUCCCGUACUGGUGGUAACUGCGAUGGGGGAACGGAGAAGGCUAGGUUGUCCGGGCGACGGUCGUCCCGGUUCAAGCAGGUAGGCAGAGUGAUUAGGCAAAUCCGGUCACUUAAUGCUGAGAUGUGAUGACGAACCACCAAGGUGGUGAAGCAAUUGAUGCCCCGCUUCCAGGAAAAGCCUCUAAGCUUCAGGUUACCAACAAUCGUACCCCAAACCGACACAGGUGGUCAGGUAGAGAAUACUCAGGCGCUUGAGAGAACUCGGGUGAAGGAACUAGGCAAAAUGGUGCCGUAACUUCGGGAGAAGGCACGCUGGCGGUAGGUAAAGUCCCUCGCGGACGGCGCUGAAGCCAGUCGAAGAUACCAGCUGGCUGCAACUGUUUAUUAAAAACACAGCACUGUGCAAACACGAAAGUGGACGUAUACGGUGUGACGCCUGCCCGGUGCUGGAAGGUUAAUUGAUGGGGUUAGCGUAAGCGAAGCUCCUGAUCGAAGCCCCAGUAAACGGCGGCCGUAACUAUAACGGUCCUAAGGUAGCGAAAUUCCUUGUCGGGUAAGUUCCGACCUGCACGAAUGGCGUAAUGAUGGCCAGGCUGUCUCCACCCGAGACUCAGUGAAAUUGAACUCGCUGUGAAGAUGCAGUGUACCCGCGGCAAGACGGAAAGACCCCGUGAACCUUUACUAUAGCUUGACACUGAACAUUGAGCCUUGAUGUGUAGGAUAGGUGGGAGGCUUUGAAGUGUGGACGCCAGUCUGCAUGGAGCCAACCUUGAAAUACCACCCUUUAACGUUUGAUGUUCUAACCUAGGCCCAUAAACUGGGUCGGGGACCGUGUCUGGUGGGUAGUUUGACUGGGGCGGUCUCCUCCUAAAGAGUAACGGAGGAGCACGAAGGUUGGCUAAGCAUGGUCGGACAUCAUGCGGUUAGUGCAAAGGCAUAAGCCAGCUUGACUGCGAGAGUGACGGCUCGAGCAGGUACGAAAGUAGGUCUUAGUGAUCCGGUGGUUCUGAAUGGAAGGGCCAUCGCUCAACGGAUAAAAGGUACUCCGGGGAUAACAGGCUGAUACCGCCCAAGAGUUCAUAUCGACGGCGGUGUUUGGCACCUCGAUGUCGGCUCAUCACAUCCUGGGGCUGAAGUAGGUCCCAAGGGUAUGGCUGUUCGCCAUUUAAAGUGGUACGCGAGCUGGGUUUAGAACGUCGUGAGACAGUUCGGUCCCUAUCUGCCGUGGGCGUUGGAAGAUUGAGAGGGGUUGCUCCUAGUACGAGAGGACCGGAGUGAACGCACCACUGGUGUUCGGGUUGUCAUGCCAAUGGCAUUGCCCGGUAGCUAAGUGCGGAAGAGAUAACCGCUGAAAGCAUCUAAGCGGGAAACUUGCCUCGAGAUGAGUCUUCCCUGUCGCUUUAAGCGACCUAAAGGAACGUUUAAGACUAAGACGUUGAUAGGCUGGGUGUGUAAGCGUAGCGAUACGUUGAGCUAACCAGUACUAAUGAACCGUGAGGCUUAACCUG
This 2899-nucleotide ribosomal RNA is filed under the name Proteus mirabilis. RNAcentral describes it as "bacterial LSU rRNA". It matches the Rfam family "Bacterial large subunit ribosomal RNA". Lineage: Bacteria; Pseudomonadati; Pseudomonadota; Gammaproteobacteria; Enterobacterales; Morganellaceae. The record is from RNAcentral.